GACGAACGCUGGCGGCGUGCUUAAUACAUGCAAGUCGAACGGAAAGGCCCUGCUCUUGCGGGGUGCUCGAGUGGCGAACGGGUGAGUAACACGUGAGUAAAAUGCCCUUGACUUAGGGAUAACUUCUGGAAAAUGGGGAUAAUACCGGAUAGGAGCUACUGCUGCACGGUGGGGGAUGGUAAGAUUCGGCGGUUGGGGAUGGUCUCGAGGCUUAUCAGCUUGUUGGUGGGGUAGUGGCUUACGAAGGCUAUGACGGGUAGCCGGCCUGGGAGGGUGACCGGCCACAAUGGGACUGAGGGACGGACCAGACUCGUACGUGAGGCAGCAGGGGGGAGUAUGGCGGAGUGGGGGGAAGCCUGAGGCAGCAACGCCGCGUGCGUGAUGACCUCCUUCUGGUUGUAAACCGCUUUCUCCGGUGACGAAGCGUGAUUGACGGUAAUUAGUAAGGAAGCACCGGCUAACUACGUG
RNAcentral lists this ribosomal RNA (468 nucleotides) under uncultured bacterium. Its description in RNAcentral is "partial 16S ribosomal RNA". It matches the Rfam family "Bacterial small subunit ribosomal RNA", at positions 28 to 507 of the family's 1533-position model. The record is from RNAcentral.